CGUAAAUAUAACCUAACUUUUGUGUAUUAUUAAAACAUUUUUUGAUUUGUAUAAAAUUUCAAUUAUUUUAAGUUACAAUGCCACCUAAAAAGCAAGCAGACAAGGGAAAAUCGAGUGGUGGCAAAAAUAGCGAAGCAAAAGAAUCCGCAGGAAAGGAGAAAAAAGGUGGCACCGCCAUUAAAGUCCGUCACAUACUCUGCGAAAAGCAAUCUAAGUGCUUAGAAGCCCUGGAAAAACUAAAAGCCGGUCAGAAAUUUCCUGAUGUAGCUGCCGCCUACAGCGAGGAUAAAGCCCGUUCAGGCGGUGACCUAGGUUGGAUGACCCGGGGCUCUAUGGUGGGACCAUUUCAAGAUGCAGCAUUUGCUUUACCAAUAUCAACAGUAGCAAGUCCAGUGUACACAGACCCCCCUAUCAAAACAAAGUUUGGAUACCACAUUAUCAUGGUCGAGGGUAAAAAAUGAUUUUCGUUUCGAAAUAUUUCUGGGCUGUCUUACUCAUCCUUAUAUUGAAAAGAAUUUGCUGUUUACUUGAUCAAUUUGAAGAUGAUUUGGACACAUUAUCAGAUAUGCAACCUUCAGUUGAAUCAAUAACUUCUUACCUUGUUGAAGAUAUAACUAAUAGAGAUUCCAGUUUAAAGAAAAGUUUCCAGAGGCUCUACUGUCUAAUAAAUGUAUCCAUGCUUCUUGUGGCAGUUUUGUCUUGCAACUUAUGUCUUUGGUUUCUGAGUGUUAAGAAAUUACCUAUGCAACAAUAUUUAGCAAACUAUUCAUUUCAAUAUCUGUAACUUCCAAAAGGA
Molecule: RNA transcript, 796 nt
Organism: Aricia agestis (brown argus)
Lineage: Eukaryota; Metazoa; Arthropoda; Insecta; Lepidoptera; Lycaenidae
Gene name: peptidyl-prolyl cis-trans isomerase NIMA-interacting 4
Exons: 3
Source: RefSeq, a predicted model, not a curated record